GAUGAACGCUAGCGGCAGGCCUAAUACAUGCAAGUCGGACGGGAUUCAGGAGCUUGCUUCUGAUGAGAGUGGCGCACGGGUGCGUAACACGUAUGUAACCUACCUUUAUCAGGGGGAUAGCCUCUCGAAAGAGAGAUUAAGCCCGCAUAAAAUCACAGCACAGCAUUGUGUAAUGAUCAAAUAUUUAUAGGAUAAAGAUGGGCAUGCGGAACAUUAGCUAGAUGGCGGGGUAACGGCCCACCAUGGCGACGAUGUUUAGGGGAUCUGAGAGGAUGGCCCCCCACACUGGUACUGAGACACGGACCAGACUCCUACGGGAGGCAGCAGUAAGGAAUAUUGGUCAAUGGGCGGAAGCCUGAACCAGCCAUGCCGCGUGCAGGAAGACGGCCCUACGGGUUGUAAACGGCUUUUAUACGGGAAUAAACCCAGAUACGUGUAUCUGGCUGAAUGUACUGUAAGAAUAAGGAUCGGCUAACUCCGUG
This 482-nucleotide ribosomal RNA is filed under the name uncultured bacterium. RNAcentral's name for it is "partial 16S ribosomal RNA". It matches the Rfam family "Bacterial small subunit ribosomal RNA", at positions 28 to 507 of the family's 1533-position model. The record is from RNAcentral.